This is a non-coding RNA of Poecilia reticulata (guppy), 2099 nucleotides long. The record is from RefSeq and is a predicted model, not a curated record. NCBI's taxonomy places the organism in Eukaryota, Metazoa, Chordata, Actinopteri, Cyprinodontiformes, Poeciliidae.
ACAGGAAGUUAGCGUUCCCACUAUGAGGCACGUUUCCUGAAAGAUUUCCACCUCCAACCUGCUGCACCCCAUGAAAACUGACCUGAGCCAGCUUCUCCCUUCUAUUUACAGAAGAAUACUGUCAGUACUAAAGGAGCACCGACUUCAGUCUUUAUUCCGGUUGUUGGAAUUCUGGUCUUGGUUGUUAUCAAUAUUUUUUCAUCUGUAUGUAUCAACCGAUCACCAAUCAACCAAAAUGAAGGAAGGUGAGGUCAAUUUAUUGAUUUUAGUGACUGAUGAAAUUUUCAGUUUUAAGGUCAGUUCUUAAAAGACGUUUUGAAGUUUGACAAUCUUCUACUUAUUUGGACUUUGAAUUCAGGUCAAAUCACAGAACAGAUUGUUGAAAUAAAAGCCAGUUCUUCUGUUAUUUGUAAUUUAUUUUUAAGAAAACAAUGUGAGAAAAAAGAGGGUUUUACUUUUCAGUCAUACUGCCCAGCUCCAACAGAGAGGUUGGCAUGUCUGAUUUUAAACUGACUGACAGAUGUCAAAACUCAACCUCAUUUUGAGAAAGGUAAAAGGUGGAUCUUAGAAGUGCAUAAUUACUAAACACAAAGCCAAGAAGCUCAGCUGCAGAGUCUGCAAGGAAAGGGGAAAAUGUCUUGGACCAGAGCCACACUGAAACACGAGGAACCAUACUGAAGAUGGAGAAAAAGAACUAAGCUGAUCAUUUCUGCAACAGUGAACCAGAGGACCAUCAUCACAAGCGAGGCAGGUGAAACCUGGAAAAACAACAAGUUCUCUGCUAAGGAGUUCAGGCUGAUGCCAGAGCUUUGGCUCUUUGGAGGUUUGGUGUUUUUGCAAAAGACGAAGACCAGAAUGAGUUAGUGCGGCCAUCUCACACAUGGGCAGCCAUUACCACGGAAACGUCCAUCAUAGCAACCAUGGCAGCUAGUGUGUUCUAUUCACCAAACAAGGGCAGAGUAACACCUGUGUAAAUAUGAUGAGCUGCAGCAGAAUGCAGCGGAGGAACAGCAGGUCUGCACCAGUGACGUGCGGUGAGGUUCUUUGCGGAUGAGCAUAUGGCAACACAAAGCAUGAACCCAACCUCCUGUCAAUACCGAGAGUGGACCACUCCCACUGUGAAAGGUGAACAGCAGGACACUCGUGCACGCCUGCCAGGCAGCAGCUGCAGGGCUGUUUCUCAGAGGGAGGCAGGACGACAGCCGGAGCAGUCUUUCAGAAACGCACAGCUGAUUACCCUUUAUUCAGGGAGGCACGAGAACACUUGCGGCAAAACAUUUAUUAUGUCAUCAUGCUAAGCCGGUGUGCUUUUUGGGCCGUCUUCCAUGGAAAAACAAGAGAAUUCCAUGGAAAAAAAACAACAGAACCAGUCAGAACAGAGGAGAUAUCUCCGUGUGACAACAUGUUGCUGUGCUUCAUGAUUUUGUUGGACAGGGCAUACAGAAUCCUACCAGGUCCUUGUUGCUAGAUAUAGAAAGAAUGAGGUUUUGUUACAACUUGCUGAGGGACAUUUUCCCAAACUUUUGCACCCAAGUCAUGUUUUUUUUUUUAAUUCACUCAAAUUUUUUUGAUGUAUCAUCCUUCCACCUUGAAAAAGGAAGUGUCUUGGUGUAUGUAAACUUUUGACCAGCAGUGUAUGGUUGCUAGCAGUUCAAGAUUAUAUCAAUCUAUCUUCCUUCAGUUUACAUAAUCAAGCACUAAACCCUUCUCUCUUAGCAGCAGGUCGUUUGUAGUGCACACAAUUUCUGGUUAGCUUCUUAGCGUUGAACUGCCACAUUACGUUACGGCCAAAUGUUAGCGACUGCUGGGUGCCAAUCAACCAGGCCACGCAAAAACAUAAUUUCAUCAGAUGCCAAUGUUACAAUUGACUGUAAUAAACUGGAAGGGGGAAAAUGGAGAAAAAUGGAGAGUUUUGUUCUGUGACGUUAACUAGUGUUGGCAAUGUUUUCACACAUCGUGGAACUGACUGGAAAGAUGUGAACAGAGGAAAAGGCUGAUCAGUCAUGUGAGAUAAAUGUUAGCCACAUCGGAACUUAUUCUGUAAAUUUGUCUCCUGCUCCCCUUUAGUGUGUUAAUUCUUAUUUUUUGGAAAAGCUGAG